GACGAACGCUGGCGGCGUGCUUAACACAUGCAAGUCGAACGGUGAUGCUCCAGCUUGCUGGAGUGGAUCAGUGGCGAACGGGUGAGUAACACGUGAGCAACCUGCCCCAGACUCUGGAAUAAGCGCUGGAAACGGCGUCUAAUACUGGAUACGAAACUGGCCCGCAUGGGCAUGGUUUGGAAAGUUUUUCGGUUUGGGAUGGGCUCGCGGCCUAUCAGCUUGUUGGUGAGGUAAUGGCUCACCAAGGCGACGACGGGUAGCCGGCCUGAGAGGGCGACCGGCCACACUGGGACUGAGACACGGCCCAGACUCCUACGGGAGGCAGCAGUGGGGAAUAUUGCACAAUGGGCGAAAGCCUGAUGCAGCGACGCCGCGUGAGGGAUGACGGCCUUCGGGUUGUAAUCCUCUUUCAGCAGGGAAGAAGCGAAAGUGACGGUACCUGCAGAAGAAGCACCGGCUACUACGUG
This 467-nucleotide ribosomal RNA is filed under the name uncultured bacterium. RNAcentral describes it as "partial 16S ribosomal RNA". It matches the Rfam family "Bacterial small subunit ribosomal RNA", at positions 28 to 507 of the family's 1533-position model. The record is from RNAcentral.